GACGAACGCUGGCGGCGUGCUUAACACAUGCAAGUCGAGCGGUAAGGCCCUUCGGGGUACACGAGCGGCGAACGGGUGAGUAACACGUGAGUAAUCUGCCCAUCACUUCGGGAUAACUCCGGGAAACCGGUGCUAACACCGAAUAUGACCACUUCAGGCAUCUGAUGGUGGUGGAAAGUUCCGGCGGUGAUGGAUGAGCUCGCGGCCUAUCAGCUUGUUGGUGGGGUAGUGGCCUACCAAGGCUUCGACGGGUAGCCGGCCUGAGAGGGUGACCGGCCACACUGGGACUGAGACACGGCCCAGACUCCUACGGGAGGCAGCAGUGGGGAAUAUUGGACAAUGGGCGAAAGCCUGAUCCAGCAACGCCGCGUGAGGGAUGACGGCCUUCGGGUUGUAAACCUCUUUCAGCAGGGACGAAGCGCAAGUGACGGUACCUGCAGAAGAAGCACCGGCCAACUACGUG
RNAcentral lists this ribosomal RNA (463 nucleotides) under uncultured bacterium. Its description in RNAcentral is "partial 16S ribosomal RNA". It matches the Rfam family "Bacterial small subunit ribosomal RNA", at positions 28 to 507 of the family's 1533-position model. The record is from RNAcentral.